UACGGAGGGUGCAAGCGUUAUCCGGAUUCACUGGGUUUAAAGGGUGCGUAGGUGGGUUGAUAAGUCAGUGGUGAAAUCCCCGAGCUUAACUUGGGAACUGCCAUUGAUACUGAAGAUCUUGAGUUCGGGAGAGGUGAGUGGAACUGCGAGUGUAGAGGUGAAAUUCGUAGAUAUUCGCAAGAACACCAGUGGCGAAGGCGGCCAACUGGACCAUUACUGACGCUGAGGUGCGAAAGCGUGGGGAGCAAACAGG
RNAcentral lists this ribosomal RNA (253 nucleotides) under uncultured bacterium. RNAcentral describes it as "partial 16S ribosomal RNA". It matches the Rfam family "Bacterial small subunit ribosomal RNA", at positions 524 to 776 of the family's 1533-position model. The record is from RNAcentral.